UCUGGCCUCAAAUCAGGUAGGACUACCCGCUGA
This 33-nucleotide ribosomal RNA is filed under the name Quambalaria cyanescens. RNAcentral's name for it is "partial 28S ribosomal RNA". The record is from RNAcentral. Lineage: Eukaryota; Fungi; Basidiomycota; Exobasidiomycetes; Microstromatales; Quambalariaceae.